RNAcentral lists this long non-coding RNA (2125 nucleotides) under Homo sapiens (human). RNAcentral's name for it is "HSALNT0359190". The record is from RNAcentral. Lineage: Eukaryota; Metazoa; Chordata; Mammalia; Primates; Hominidae.
CCUUAAAUUUGUUUAUGACAGGUUGAUUGUAAUGUAAUAAUCUAGUUUAACUAUAUACCACCUAAAUCAAUAAAAAGAGCACAAAUUAAUGGUCAGUUCUAUGAAAAUUCAGUUAAAUUCUUGAGAAAUAUUGAAAAAGGUAGUCAGAAAUAAUUGCUGUCUACUUAGGUGGAUGCCACAACGUGAAAGAGAGAGAGAAAAACCUGUAAACAUUCUGCAACCAAUUUACUUCAUAAGUAUCUUUAUCUUCUUAAUCCACUUUAAGGAAACAAACUGGAAAUCAAAGGAGGUGCAUAAUAUUGUAGAUUAUGAAAGAAAGAUAACUACAGGACUCCAAUCGGAGAAACCAUGCUCAAAAAUAGGCGUUGGUCUCACAUCAAAAGAUUGGGGAGUCCAAGGGAGGAUUUGCUCAAAGCCCAGUCCUGCAUUACCCUAAUAGAAAGUCAGAAGGAGUAGAAGUGGCAUUAAAACUGGAAGAGCAUUCCAUGUUUCAAAUAAAUUCCAGUAUUUUAGCAAAAAAGAGGGAAGAAGGAGAGAGGACCAGAGGGAGGAGGAAGAAGAAAAUAUAGAGAAAGCAUGUGUUGUGAAGCCUUAAUGAUUGCAGAAUCUGCACUGAUGGAUUAAUGGAGGUUCUUUAUACUGUUCUCUCUCCUUUACAUAUGUUUAUGAAUUUUCUUAAUAAAAAGCUGAUAAAGCAAGAUAUAGAAUAGUAUAUGGAGGGUGAAUUGUAUAGCAUAUAAUUAUAUUUCAAUAAAGCUAUUAUUUUGUAAAAAGAAUGCUAUAUAGAGUUUGCUACCUUUGGAAAGAUAAAUGUAUCCUACAUUACAUACAAUAUAAACAAAGAUAUAUUGUAAUACGUACAAUAAAAACAAACAAAAAAACCCUAAAAAAAAUGGCAGCCUCUACUGAGGUUAACACUGAGAGACAGAAGUGGAAAUGGUGACUCACUUCCUUGUGUAUCCUUCUAAUGUCUUAGAAGUCUGUAUUAUGUGUUUGUAUUAUCUAUCCAAAAAUUUGAAUCAGAAAAUUUAUAACUGAUGGGGAAGCAUUUCACAGCAUCUCAAGAAUCACAGCAAAAAUGUUUUAGAUUUGGUAAACGUGGUGUCCCUCAAUGAAAUGGCUGCAAUCAAAGGUUCUCAAAUCAGUGACUCCAGAGAGCAAAGCAAGGACUGAGGGACUUGGUGGCUGCUCUCAUGGGAAAUGCAACACUGCCAGUCACUGGUGCGGCCACUGGGAGUCUGCACUGACUGGACACCCUCUGGUAGAGCCUUGGCCCCAAGGCGACUGGUGAUUCCCUUCACUCAUUCAGCCCCACAGAAACAUAUAAAAUAGUUGCUCAAACCAGUGUAUAACAUGGCUACAUUUUCAAAUUGGCACUCGCUCUACUCCACCAAUCAACAAUAUUGAAAUUGAAAUCAAAAGUGAAAAGUAAAGUCAGUUGCUCUCUCCCAAAGGGAUUCUGAUGCCUGUGAAAAGACCUGCUGACCUGCUGGCUCACUCCAGCAAAAAGCACAAGAAGCCAGCUCUGCGGAAAGUAGGGGAAAGGGCAUCUAUUGCUCUGUGGGGCAAGGGUUGUUACCAGCUGACCUUUGAGAGCCCAUGAGUACAGCCAACUACACACAUAUUGGUCUUGGGGCUUGUUUCAUUACUUGGAAAAAUUCCCUUUAAAGGUUAAUGUCAAGAAAUAAACUCUGUUACAUUGAGUCCCAUGACUCAAGUGGACUUUGAAAAAACAUCUCUGGAAUGCUCUUUUCUCUGAGUAUCAGCCUCCCAUUUAAACUCCGUCUGAACUGAGGGCUUCCAAAAAGGUAUAUCGCUGAUCUGCAGGCCAGUAACAUACUCUGUUCAGUGUUAUGCAAGGAGAGUAUGUUUUUUGUCAACCCAGAACUCAAAGGCAGGGCUAACACCCAUGUAUCAUAAAGACUGCCUCAUACACUAACAUUCAACUAUUCAACUGAGAGGGGGCUCAAGGGGCUUUCUGAGUACCUAUAAUGUUCUAUUUCUUGAUCUGGGUGAUGGCUAUACAGGGUUGCUUGUGUGUGUAAAUUAAACUGUAAGCUUAUAAUUUGAGCCUUCUUCUGUAUGUAUGUCACCUCUAUUAAAAGCUGUAUUUAUAAAAACUCCA